This 253-nucleotide ribosomal RNA is filed under the name uncultured bacterium. RNAcentral's name for it is "partial 16S ribosomal RNA". It matches the Rfam family "Bacterial small subunit ribosomal RNA", at positions 524 to 776 of the family's 1533-position model. The record is from RNAcentral.
GACGAACCGUGCGAACGUUGUUCGGAUUCACUGGGCUUAAAGGGCGCGUAGGCGGCUUGCCAAGUCAGGGGUGAAAUCGUUCGGCUCAACCGGACAAUUGCUUUUGAUACUGGCAGGCUAGAGGGAGGUAGGGGCAGAUGGAACUUCCGGUGGAGCGGUGAAAUGCGUAGAUAUCGGAAGGAACGCCGGUGGCGAAAGCGAUCUGCUGGAUCUCUACUGACGCUGAGGCGCGAAAGCCAGGGGAGCAAACGGG